GACAGAGGAUGCAAGCGUUAUCCGGAAUGAUUGGGCGUAAAGCGUCUGUAGGUGGCUUUUCAAGUCCGCCGUCAAAUCCCAGGGCUCAACCCUGGACAGGCGGUGGAAACUGCCAAGCUGGAGUACGGUAGGGGCAGAGGGAAUUUCCGGUGGAGCGGUGAAAUGCGCAGAUAUCAGGAAGAACACCCGUGGCGAAGGCGGCUCUCUGGGACGGUACUGACGCUGAGACGCGAAAGCGUGGGGAGCGAACAGG
Molecule: ribosomal RNA, 253 nt
Filed under: uncultured bacterium
Lineage: Bacteria
Description: partial 16S ribosomal RNA
Rfam family: Bacterial small subunit ribosomal RNA
Source: RNAcentral